Molecule: ribosomal RNA, 154 nt
Filed under: Arcanobacterium phocisimile
Lineage: Bacteria; Bacillati; Actinomycetota; Actinomycetes; Actinomycetales; Actinomycetaceae
Description: 16S ribosomal RNA
Rfam family: Bacterial small subunit ribosomal RNA
Source: RNAcentral
UUUGUACACCCCGCCCGUCACGUCACGAAAGUUGGUAACACCCGAAGCCCGUGGCCUAACCUUUUUGGGGGGAGCGGUCGAAGGUGGGAUUGGCGAUUGGGACGAAGUCGUAACAAGGUAGCCGUACCGGAAGGUGCGGCUGGAUCACCUCCUU